AUGUCUUGGAAGAAUCAAAGAAAAAUCUCAGGAAAAUCUCUUUCUAUCUCUCUGCAAUCUUCUUCGUUUCUUUCUCCACCACUGUUUCUCAAUCGACAUCUCCACAGUUCUUCAGUCAUCAUCUCACAAUCAUCAACAACUCUUGCCUCUGCAACAGAUUCAUCGUCUUCAAUUUGCAAUCAACACCAUCGCUCUUAA
Non-coding RNA from Vicia faba (fava bean), 198 nucleotides. The record is from the annotation of a GenBank genome assembly. Lineage: Eukaryota; Viridiplantae; Streptophyta; Magnoliopsida; Fabales; Fabaceae.